CCUACGGGAGGCAGCAGUGAGGAAUAUUGGUCAAUGGACGCAAGUCUGAACCAGCCAUGCCGCGUGCAGGAUGACGGCCCUAUGAGUUGUAAACUGCUUUUAUAAAGGGGUAAACUGAGGCACGUGUGCCUUUCUGUAUGUACUUUAUGAAUAAGGAUCGGCUAACUCCGUGCCAGCAGCCGCGGUAAUACGGAGGAUCCGAGCGUUAUCCGGAUUUAUUGGGUUUAAAGGGUGCGUAGAUGGGUUGUUAAGUUAGUUGUGAAAGGUUGAGGCUCAACGGUACAAUUGCAAUUGAUACUGGCAGUCUUGAGUGCAGUUGAGGUAGGCGGAAAUCGUGGUGUAGCGGUGAAAUGCUGAGAUAUCACGAAGAACUCCGAUUGCGAAGGCAGCUUACUAAACUGCCACUGACAUUGAUGCUCGAAAGUGUG
RNAcentral lists this ribosomal RNA (428 nucleotides) under uncultured bacterium. RNAcentral describes it as "partial 16S ribosomal RNA". It matches the Rfam family "Bacterial small subunit ribosomal RNA", at positions 338 to 763 of the family's 1533-position model. The record is from RNAcentral.